RNAcentral lists this small nuclear RNA (279 nucleotides) under Myotis lucifugus (little brown bat). Its description in RNAcentral is "7SK RNA (ENSMLUG00000021526.1)". It matches the Rfam family "7SK RNA". From Rfam's summary of the family: 7SK was discovered as an abundant small nuclear RNA in the mid-70s but a possible function has only recently been suggested. Two independent studies have found that 7SK RNA binds the CDK9/cyclin T complex (known as elongation factor P-TEFb). The record is from RNAcentral. Lineage: Eukaryota; Metazoa; Chordata; Mammalia; Chiroptera; Vespertilionidae.
GGAAACGAGCCAUCUGGCAUAGACAUCUGCCAUAACAUUGACCUUCAGGGUAUCUUGGCUGCUCUGCCUGACCCGGCAGGUGCCUACAACUUUCUUCAUAACUCUUAGUUGUUCUUCCACAUUGGCCACCUUUUCUCAUAUAGAAGAGAGUGUUUUUAAUUAAGGUUAUAGGAACAUGAAUGUAACUUUUUAGAACCUCUAAAAUCAGAUUUAAAAGACCAUAAAAAGUGCAAUUAUUUUCACUUAUUUCCAGAAAAUUCACUAUAGAUAGUAAUUUUU